RNAcentral lists this ribosomal RNA (301 nucleotides) under uncultured bacterium. RNAcentral describes it as "partial 16S ribosomal RNA". It matches the Rfam family "Bacterial small subunit ribosomal RNA", at positions 509 to 807 of the family's 1533-position model. The record is from RNAcentral.
CAGUCGCCGCGGUAAUACGGAGGGAGCUAGCGUUGUUCGGAAUUACUGGGCGUAAAGCGCACGUAGGCGGUUAUUCAAGUCAGAGGUGAAAGCCCGGGGCUCAACCCCGGAACUGCCUUUGAAACUAGAUGACUGAAAUCUUGGAGAGGUCAGUGGAAUUCCGAGUGUAGAGGUGAAAUUCGUAGAUAUUCGGAAGAAUACCAGUGGCGAAGGCGACUGACUGGACAAGUAUUGACGCUGAGGUGCGAAAGCGUGGGGAGCAAACAGGAUUAGAUACCCGCGUAGUCCCUGUCUCUUAUAC